AUGAACUCAACGAGAUACUGCAAGAGGUGGGAAAAGUGUCCUCUCUCUUUCCAGCUACAUCUGUCCUCUCUUCCCUCCCCUUACAUGUCAGUUCCCAGCACAGACUGUGUAGAAGAGUGAGUCUAACUAGCUCUCCUACUUGAGGUGUGUGCUGGAAAAAAAGGAUGUUGGAGAGCUCUGUUCUCCAGCCUGAGGAAAUCAGACGUCUCCUUGCUCUUCAACCUCCCCUGCCUUCCCUGUGGACUCCUCUGGCUCCCUGAUAUUCCUAGCCAUCAUCUGCUCUUCUCUAUGUCUCAGUUUCCCCACUUCUCUUCUCUUUUUAUUUUCUUUUUUAAAUUUUUAUUUAUUUAUUUCUUGAGACAGAGUCUCACUCUGUUGCCCAGGCUGGAGUGCAAUGGUGUGAUCUCGGCUCACUGCAACCUCCACCUCCUGGGUUCAAGCAAUUCUCCUGCCUCAACCUCCUGAGUAGUUGGGAUGACAGGCAUGUGCCACCACACCCAGCUAAUUUUUGUAAUUUUAGUAGAGAUGGGGUUUCACCAUGUUGGUCAGGCUGGUCUCGAACUCCUGACCUCAGGUGAUCUGCCCACCUGGGCCUCCCAAAGUGCUGGGAUUAUAGGUGUGAGCCACCACGCCCGGCCUCUUUUUAUUUUAUUUUAUUUAUUUAUUUUGAAACGGAGUCUUGCUCUGUCACCAGGCUGGAGUGCAGUGGCAGGAUCUCGGCUCACUGCAACCUCUGCCUUCUGGGUUCAAGUGAUUCUCCUGCCUCAGCCUCUUGAGUAGCUGGGACAAUUUACGUGAGCCACCAUGCCCAGCUAAUUUUUGUAUUUUUUGUAGAGGCGGGGUUUCACCAUGUUGGCCAGGAUGGUCUUGAUCUCUUGACCUCGUGAUCUGCCUGCCUUGGCCUCUCAAAGUGCUGGGAUUAUAGGCAUGAGCCACUGCGCCCGGCCUCUUCUCUUUUUAGAUAAAAUAAUGAGAUGCUACGUCAUAGGAUCUGUCUCUGAGUCCACAUUGUGGGAGAAAAGACCAUUCUUCGGAAAGAUGCAGAGGAAGCCCCGUACCUCAAGGGAUUGAGAUGGGAGACUGAGGGAAUCCUGGGGUCUCUGCCCUCUCCCUCACUGGGAAACAAGCUCUGUUUCUUCAUGUGCUGGAGCCCUGCCUCUGUGGGUGCAGCCUGAGGACAAAGGCAGUGCUGCAUCCCCUGAUCCCCUGCCCCCUACAACCUCCUGCCCAGCCUCUUGGGUGCUCCUCAGCUUGUCGUCAGGGAGGAAGCAGCCAUCUCCUCCGAUGACUGACUUCAAGCCUCAACUCUCCCACAGCUUCUCAAAAGCCAAGGCUGAGGCCAAGUCCUAGCUGCUGCCUUGGGACAGGUCAAGGGCCUCCUGCAAUCUCAUGCACAAACUGGUACCCAUGAGCAUGUGGCCUAAGAGAUUUAUUGACCCCUCUCCAAGUCCUUGCCAGAGGAAUCCUGCACACCUAUAUCCACAAUGAAGGGAGCCAUAUCCCCAGCUGGGUAGCCAUAUCCCUAAUGAUAUCACUUAUGAAAGGUGACAAGUCCUUUCUACCACUCUUAUUUAAGUGAAAAUAUAUUUAGUCAAUUAUGGUCUUUCUCUUGUGUCUACUGAAAGCAUGGUAAGAGUCUGUUUUAACUGAGAAUAUUUUUUAUCUCCUCAUUCUACUCCCAAAUGAGUUUUUCAGGGUCCCGUGGUCUUGAUGGUCUUUCAACUAUAGCUGCCUAUAAACCCUGUACAUAGGGGACACUAUGACCCUUGGAUCUUUUUCUAUAAUGUCCAUGUUCCAGUGAGCCAUAGAGCCAGAUCCACUUGAAUUCAAUUUCCAAAAACAAACCUGCUGGGAUUUUGAUUGGAAUUGUAUUGAAUCUAUGCAUUCGUUUUGAGAACUGACAUCAUUAUAAUAUGAGCCUUCCCAUUUGUGAACAUGGUAUAACCCUACAUUUAUUUAGGUCUUUAAGUUCCCUCAAUAAUGCUUUGUAGUUCAGUGUAGAGGUCUUGCACAUUUUUCAUUUGAUUUAUUCCUAGGCAUUUGAUGGGCUUUGCUGCUAUUGUAAAUUGUAUUUUUAGAAGGGAUUUUCAUAAGCACUAGUGAUUGGUAGUGUAGGAAGGAGAACCCCAGCAAUACCUGCCCUUCAUCUUUAAAGAAAUCCAAGCUUAUGGAGAUAUAAUUCAUAUUCCAUACAAUUCACCCAUUUAAAGUAUACACUUCAAUGGUUUUUAGAAUAUUUGUAGGUAUGUGUAACCAUCACCACUGUCAAUUUUAAAACAUUUUCAUCACCUUAAAAAGUAACCUCAUGCCCUUUAGCUAUUACCCACCUAUUGCAUCUGUUACAGUCUGAAUACGUCUCCCCUCUAAAUUCAUAUGUUGAAAUCCUAACCCUCAAGGUGAUGGCAUUAGGAGGUGGGGCCUUUUAGGAGGCGAUUAGGUCAUGAUAGCAGAGUUCUUGUGAAUGGGAUUAGUGCCCUUAUAAAAAAGGCCCAGAGAGUUACUUUACCUCUUCUAGCAAGUGAGGACACAGUGAGAAGUCUCCACCUGGAGAAAGUGGGCCCUCACCAGACACCAAAUCUGCUGCUGCCUUCAUGCUGGACUUCCCAGCCUCCAGAACUAUGAGAAAUAAAUUCCUG
Molecule: long non-coding RNA, 2636 nt
Filed under: Homo sapiens (human)
Lineage: Eukaryota; Metazoa; Chordata; Mammalia; Primates; Hominidae
Description: HSALNT0334228
Source: RNAcentral